Molecule: transfer RNA, 78 nt
Filed under: Acropyga smithii
Lineage: Eukaryota; Metazoa; Arthropoda; Insecta; Hymenoptera; Formicidae
Description: tRNA-Val
Source: RNAcentral
AAAAUUUUAGUUUAAGCAAAUUAAAAUGGUUCAUUUACAUUGAACGGAUUAAUAAUAAAUUUAUGUAUUAAAAUUUUA